AUUGAACGCUGGCGGCAGGCCUAACACAUGCAAGUCGAACGGUAACAGGAAGCAGCUUGCUGCUUUGCUGACGAGUGGCGGACGGGUGAGUAAUGUCUGGGAAACUGCCCGAUGGAGGGGGAUAACUACUGGAAACGGUAGCUAAUACCGCAUAACGUCGCAAGACCAAAGAGGGGACCUUAGGGCCUCUUGCCAUCGGAUGUGCCCAGAUGGGAUUAGCUAGUAGGUGGGGUAACGGCUCACCUAGGCGACGAUCCCUAGCUGGUCUGAGAGGAUGACCAGCCACACUGGAACUGAGACACGGUCCAGACUCCUACGGGAGGCAGCAGUGGGGAAUAUUGCACAAUGGGCGCAAGCCUGAUGCAGCCAUGCCGCGUGUAUGAAGAAGGCCUUCGGGUUGUAAAGUACUUUCAGCGGGGAGGAAGGGAGUAAAGUUAAUACCUUUGCUCAUUGACGUUACCCGCAGAAGAAGCACCGGCUAACUCCGUG
This 489-nucleotide ribosomal RNA is filed under the name uncultured bacterium. Its description in RNAcentral is "partial 16S ribosomal RNA". It matches the Rfam family "Bacterial small subunit ribosomal RNA", at positions 30 to 507 of the family's 1533-position model. The record is from RNAcentral.